GGGAGAUGACUGGCUGUUCACUCCAAGAUCAGUAACUGAUGAUCAAAAACUGAUCACAUGUCUGCAGGACACCAACUUCUGAGGCCUGCAGAUGCUCUAAACUGACCUGAAACUGCUAUUUGUGUUCCAGCAAAUCCUGAUGAACGCUGCCGGUUCAAGGAGUAUAGACGGUUACUACGACAAUUGCCCGACAACAACAAAGCUACACUGAAUGCGCUGUUUGGACACUUCUACAUGGUUCAGGUCUUCUCUCAGGAGAAUAAGAUGUCUGCUUACAACCUGGCCGUGGUUCUGGCUCCAUCUCUGUUUCAGAUGAUGAAUCAGGACAUGAUUCAGCUCACCAAAGAGUUCAUCAUCCACCACACGCUGCUCUUCCUGACUCCAGAGAAGCAGAAGCCUGUGGAGGAGGAGGUGGAGGAGGAGAUCACCAUCCUCUGAUGAAUCUGAAGGAGUUUGACUUUUCAGACCAAACCACAGGGGAGGUUUCGGUUCUCUGGAUUUGUUCCGACCCGGACUUUGAUCGUUGAAGCUCUCUCUGCCAUGUGGUGCCUCCUGCUGGCCCUGGUGUGUCCGCUUUUAUACUAGGGGUUUGUUUUAUAGGACAGACACAGGAUCGUUGUAGUUUUUGUGUAUUCUGGUUUUGGAUCAGCAGAACUGAUUCUGUUUUAUCUGAACCAACCUCUUUACUGCUUUCAGUUUAUUAUCAGCACUUACACAGAACUGGAGCUCAGAACUAAAGAAGGUCCUUCAUGAUCGCUUAACUCUAACUUUUUAUCAGAACCUACAAUAAUUCUUUAGUUAAUCAAGAACCCACUUUCGUUAAUUUGGGUUCCUUCAGUUUAAGAAUAUAAAGUUUUAUAUUUGUUUUAACCCAAUAAGUCCUAAUAAAAACAACCUGUUCCAAUUGAGAAUAGCUUUUUCUCAUCACAUCAAACUUUUCUCUAUCCACCUUCUACACGUGGUUUGUCCUGCACAUGGUUGUUCAUGAAGAUGCUGGAGUCUGUACCAGCUGUUAGGUGAAUUACACCCUGGACCGAUCACCAGUCAUUUAAGUGUUACUCCUCGGUUCCUGGUCAUCCUAUCUUCAUUAACCCUCGAUACACCUCUGUUCCUCAUCAUUUCAUCAUCAUCGUCUCCUCUUUAUUCUACUUUUUCCUCUGGCUAUGUUCUUCUUCAUUCCAUCUCUAAUCUUCAUCUGUUUUUCCUCAUUCCAGCUCUGUGUCUCUUCAUAUAAUUCAUUUUUCUUCACUUGUGUUGCUGAGGUAAGAUCGCAGGUUCACUCCCGGUCGUGCCCUCCUAUGUGUUGAAGUGCCCUUGGGCAAGACACUGAACCCCACAUUACACGUGGUUAUAGGUUGGUGCCUCUGUUUUGCAGUGGAACCGCCUUAAAUGUGUGUGGAUGAAUGUGACUGUUAAGUACUUUGAGCCCUGCUGCAGCAAAGUGGAGAAGUGCUACACCACCAUGCACUAAUUACCUUCCUCCUUAGAUCCCUCUCAUUUUGCCUCUAAUCCUCUUUAUUACUCCUCUGUUGUUCCCUUGAUCAAUCUCAUUCCACUUUGGUUACCCACUCAUUUCAAGUCUUUGUCACAAUUGCUUUUAUGGCUGGAUUCAGGCAGUCUGCUGGCAAAAAAAAAAUCGGCAAACCUGUAUGGGGCGAGCAGAUGACGCCCACAAAAGAUAAAAGUUGUAGACCGUUGGGUGAACCUGCAGAGAGAAAAUAUUCAGGCACAUUUUUUUCUACGGGCAUGAUGCGGGCGUCAGGUUGUAGCGAACGCUUAUGCAGCUCAUAAGGGAAAGUAAAGGUAAGGUAGGUGACACAGGUGUGUUGUACAGAUUUUCCAUUUCUUCAGCCACUUCCAAAUCUUGCACUGUUGGUUCUGUUCAAAUAGGAAGUGUGUGCUCCUUGUGUUCAGUCUUAUAGUUAAAAAUUAGAAAAUUACAAAGGGUAGUUUGUGUGGACAUUCUAUGUAUGACGUGCUCACCCCAUUUCUGAAGCAUUUAAGGAGCCUGCAUAUGCACUUUACCAACGACUAGAGCAGGAUCUGGCUCGCCAAACUGGAAUAAAAUAUUUUGAUAAUACUAACCAAUAGUUUGAUUUUCCUGGAAUUCCAGUGUCACCCAAUAGAUGGUGCACUACAAAUACAAUAACCUUUAUUUAGGUGCAGAAAGGUUAUUGCAUUCAUGUGGCGUUAAAAGUAGGGGUCGCGUUAAUCACAAUUAAUUACAGACAAAUUGCGUUAAUUUUUAUUUGUUUAUCGCAUUAGUCUAAUUUUUAAUCUAAAGCUGUUGUCAAGUUCUCAAAUAUAAAAACCGCGUGAGGCUGGGGUCAGCACGUGCCCUGGGAGGAGGACUUGCCUGAGUCCGGGGUUGGGUUGGGGCCAUCGUGAUUGGCCUGCUAGGGCCACAGGUACCUCCCGUUGGCUCGGCCGGGGUUGAUGGGGGCUGGCGGUGGAACACUUAGCCACCUGGAGGGGGUGGGGCGCUUGUGGUGAGUGGGGGUCGUCUGAUGGGUCUGGGGUUCAGGUGAUUGGGGACCAGAGCUCCCAAUGGGGGCUGGGAGCAGGGGCUCUGCUCUGGGACUUGGGGAUGGUAUUUAGCCCUGCCCCUCCUGAGCUGUACGGUCUCGGGGACUGGUGCACUCUCCGGCGCAUCUGCCACACUGAGCGGCUUGACCUGGUGCGUCGUGUUCGGAUGAGGGUCGGGAGGUCCAGGGUGUCCCCAGCCUUUGCCCAAAAGUGGGGAUAGGCUCCAGCAGCCCCGUGACCCCAAAAAAGGAACAAACUGAUUAGAGGAAGAAUUAAGGAUUUUUUUAAGUUUGUCAAUUCUUCUUGUGACCGUUUCUGAGUUGCUGUGAGUCGUACCCAUUACAAAAACAUUUGUGUCAUCAGCAAACGGAAGAUAUUUUAGUAUGUUGGAUACCUUAAAAAAAUCAUUUACAUAAAUAAUUUAAGUCACAGUAUUGACCCUUAUGGGACACCACAAACAAUGUCCAAACAUUGGGAACUACCUACUUUCAAAUUGCUUUCUGUUGCUUGAAUAGUUUUUAAUCCAGUUAUAUCCUGUUCCCCUGAUGCCACAUCGUUCCAGUUUUUUAACAACAUGCUGUGUUUAUAUCUGUUACUACUACUGUCUGCUGACUGGAACACACGUGUAUGAGGAUGCACUUAAACGUACAUGAUGGGGACGUUGGGUGAAACUGGAAGUUUAAAAUUCGUACUCAUAAGUUUAGACUUUUGUGUUGAGAAAUCAAACAUUCAUGGGUUUUGUGUGUGAUCCCAGCUUCUGUCAUUAAAAAAAGGAGAUGGCAGCAUUUGAUCACCUUAGUUUAUUAACAGGAACACUUUGAGCACAAUGCAGAACAAGAAGUUACUUCAAAAACUACAAAAGAGAUUAAAAACACUCUCACACCCUCACAUACGUACAAACUCACACAGUUACACACUAAGCAUGCAGCAUAAGUCCAGUUAAUACAGAAGGAAAUUUACCAGAGAGCAGCUGAUCAGCAGGAUGAAACAGGAGCAGCAAAGUCUGACUGUCACCUGUCAGGAGGAGGUCAACCAACGUAUUUGAUGCUGUGUCUAAAUUCCAAGUUCAAAUGCUGAUGAGAAAAAUGGUGGGAGGAUCAGACAACCAACAACAAUCUAGACUCCAACCUGGCAACCUGCAAUGAAGGUGACCAACAGUCAUCAACACUUGAUCACUCACAGAGCGAGCUAACCCGAAACCGAAAUAAGGCUGAACUGG
RNAcentral lists this long non-coding RNA (3745 nucleotides) under Oryzias sinensis (Chinese medaka). RNAcentral's name for it is "lncRNA (ENSOSIG00000006583.1)". Lineage: Eukaryota; Metazoa; Chordata; Actinopteri; Beloniformes; Adrianichthyidae. The record is from RNAcentral.